AGCGAACGCUGGCGGCAGGCUUAACACAUGCAAGUCGAGCGGACCUUUCGGGGUCAGCGGCGGACGGGUGAGUAACACGUGGGAACGUGCCUUCCGGUUCGGAAUAACCCUGGGAAACUAGGGCUAAUACCGGAUACGCCCUUAUGGGGAAAGGUUUACUGCCGGAAGAUCGGCCCGCGUCUGAUUAGCUAGUUGGUGGGGUAACGGCCUACCAAGGCGACGAUCAGUAGCUGGUCUGAGAGGUUGAUCAGCCACACUGGGACUGAGACACGGCCCAGACUCCUACGGGAGGCAGCAGUGGGGAAUAUUGGACAAUGGGCGCAAGCCUGAUCCAGCCAUGCCGCGUGAGUGAUGAAGGCCUUAGGGUUGUAAAGCUCUUUUAUCCGGGACGAUAAUGACGGUACCGGAGGAAUAAGCCCCGGCUAACUUCGUG
RNAcentral lists this ribosomal RNA (433 nucleotides) under uncultured bacterium. RNAcentral's name for it is "partial 16S ribosomal RNA". It matches the Rfam family "Bacterial small subunit ribosomal RNA", at positions 29 to 507 of the family's 1533-position model. The record is from RNAcentral.